This 229-nucleotide ribosomal RNA is filed under the name uncultured bacterium. RNAcentral's name for it is "partial 16S ribosomal RNA". It matches the Rfam family "Bacterial small subunit ribosomal RNA", at positions 568 to 796 of the family's 1533-position model. The record is from RNAcentral.
UCCGUAGGCGGGUUUAUAAGUCAGUGGUGAAAGUUUGCGGCUCAACCGUAAAAUUGCCAUUGAUACUGUAGAUCUUGAAUUAGUGUGAAGUGGUUAGAAUGUGUAGUGUAGCGGUGAAAUGCAUAGAUAUUACACAGAAUACCAAUUGCGAAGGCAGAUCACUAACACUAUAUUGACGCUGAGGGACGAAAGCGUGGGGAGCGAACAGGAUUAGAUACCCUGGUAGUCC